This 320-nucleotide ribosomal RNA is filed under the name uncultured bacterium. RNAcentral's name for it is "bacterial SSU rRNA". It matches the Rfam family "Bacterial small subunit ribosomal RNA", at positions 356 to 693 of the family's 1533-position model. The record is from RNAcentral.
GGGGAAUAUUGCACAAUGGGCGAAAGCCUGAUGCAGCAACGCCGCGUGAUUGAUGAAGGCCUUCGGGUUGUAAAGCUCUGUCUUCUGUGACGAUAAUGACGGUCCCAGAGGAGGAAGCCACGGCUAACUACGUGCCAGCAGCCGCGGUAAUACGUAGGUGGCAAGCGUUGUCCGGAUUUACUGGGCGAAAAGGAUGCGUAGGCGGAUACUUUAGUCAGAUGUGAAAAUCCCGGGCUUAACUUGGGAACUGCAUUUGAAACUGGGUAUCUAGAGUGCGGGAAAUGAGAGUUGAAUUCCUAGUGUAUCGGUGAAAUGCGUAG